RNAcentral lists this ribosomal RNA (945 nucleotides) under uncultured bacterium. RNAcentral describes it as "bacterial SSU rRNA". It matches the Rfam family "Bacterial small subunit ribosomal RNA", at positions 502 to 1447 of the family's 1533-position model. The record is from RNAcentral.
UACGUGCCAGCANCCGCGGUAAUACGUAGGUCCCGAGCGUUNUCCGGAUUUAUUGGGCGUAAAGGGAGCGCAGGCGNUCAGGAAAGUCUGGAGUAAAAGGCUAUGGCUCAACCAUAGUGUGCUCUGGAAACUNUCUGACUUGAGUGCAGAAGGGGAGAGUGGGAUUCCAUGUGUAGCGGUGAAAUGCGUAGAUAUAUGGAGGAACACCAGUGGCGAAAGCGGCUCUNUGGUCUGUCACUGACGCUGAGGCUCGAAAGCGUGGGUAGCGAACAGGAUUAGAUACCCUGGUAGUCCACGCCGUAAACGAUGAGUGCUAGGUGUUAGGCCCUUUCCGGGGCUUAGUGCCGGAGCUAACGCAAUAAGCACUCCGCCUGGGGAGUACGACCGCAAGGUUGAAACUCAAAGGAAUUGACGGGGGCCCGCACAAGCGGUGGAGCAUGUGGUUUAAUUCGAAGCAACGCGAAGAACCUUACCAGGUCUUGACAUCCCGAUGCUAUUCUUAGAGAUAGGAAGUUACUUCGGUACAUCGGAGACAGGUGGUGCAUGGUUGUCGUCAGCUCGUGUCGUGAGAUGUUGGGUUAAGUCCCGCAACGAGCGCAACCCUUAUUGUUAGUUGCCAUCAUUAAGUUGGGCACUCUAGCGAGACUGCCGGUAAUAAACCGGAGGAAGGUGGGGAUGACGUCAAAUCAUCAUGCCCCUUAUGACCUGGGCUACACACGUGCUACAAUGGUCGGUACAACGAGUUGCGAGCCGGUGACGGCAAGCUAAUCUCUGAAAGCCGAUCUCAGUUCGGAUUGGAGGCUGCAACUCGCCUCCAUGAAGUCGGAAUCGCUAGUAAUCGCGGAUCAGCACGCCGCGGUGAAUACGUUCCCGGGCCUUGUACACACCGCCCGUCACACCACGAGGGUUUGUAACACCCGAAGUCGGUGAGGUAACCUUUUAGGG